CCUACGGGGGGCAGCAGUGAGGAAUAUUGGUCAAUGGGCGAGAGCCUGAACCAGCCAAGUCGCGUGAGGGAGUACUGCCCUAUGGGUUGUAAACCUCUUUUGUCGGGGAGCAAAAGCCGGACGUGUCCGGCUGUGAGAGUACCCGAAGAAAAAGCAUCGGCUAACUCCGUGCCAGCAGCCGCGGUAAUACGGAGGAUGCGGGCGUUAUCCGGAUUUAUUGGGUUUAAAGGGUGCGCAGGCGGAUUUUUAAGUCAGCGGUAAAAUCGUGGGGCUCAACCCCAUCCAGCCGUUGAAACUGGGGAUCUAGAGUGUGCGAGAGGUAUGCGGAAUGCGUGGUGUAGCGGUGAAAUGCAUAGAUAUCACGCAGAACCCCGAUUGCGAAGGCAGCAUACCGGUGCACAACUGACGCUCAGGCACGAAAGCGUGGGUAUCGAACAGGAUUAGAUACCCGAGUAGUC
This 458-nucleotide ribosomal RNA is filed under the name uncultured bacterium. Its description in RNAcentral is "partial 16S ribosomal RNA". It matches the Rfam family "Bacterial small subunit ribosomal RNA", at positions 338 to 795 of the family's 1533-position model. The record is from RNAcentral.